This 421-nucleotide ribosomal RNA is filed under the name uncultured bacterium. RNAcentral's name for it is "bacterial SSU rRNA". It matches the Rfam family "Bacterial small subunit ribosomal RNA", at positions 356 to 774 of the family's 1533-position model. The record is from RNAcentral.
AAGGAAUAUUGGUCAAUGGACGCAAGUCUGAACCAGCCAUGCCGCGUGGAGGAUGAAGGCCCUCUGGGUUGUAAACUUCUUUUAUCUGGGAAGAAACCCAUCUUUUCUAAGGUGGUUGACGGUACCAGAUGAAUAAGCACCGGCUAACUCCGUGCCAGCAGCCGCGGUAAUACGGAGGGUGCAAGCGUUAUCCGGAUUCACUGGGUUUAAAGGGUGCGUAGGUGGGCAGGUAAGUCAGUGGUGAAAUCUCUGGGCUUAACCCAGAAACUGCCGUUGAUACUAUCUGUCUUGAAUAUAGUGGAGGUGAGCGGAAUAUGUCAUGUAGCGGUGAAAUGCUUAGAUAUGACAUAGAACACCCAUUGCGAAGGCAGCUCGCUACACUAUUAUUGACACUGAGGCACGAAAGCGUGGGGAUCAAACA